RNAcentral lists this ribosomal RNA (866 nucleotides) under uncultured bacterium. Its description in RNAcentral is "bacterial SSU rRNA". It matches the Rfam family "Bacterial small subunit ribosomal RNA", at positions 56 to 882 of the family's 1533-position model. The record is from RNAcentral.
UGCAGUCGAGCGAGUCUGCCUUGAAGAUCGGAGUGCUUGCACUCUGUGAAACAAGAUACAGGCUAGCGGCGGACGGGUGAGUAACACGUGGGUAACCUGCCUAAGAGAUCGGGAUAACACCUGGAAACAGAUGCUAAUACCGGAUAACAACAGAUGAUGCCUAUCAACUGUUUAAAAGAUGGUUCUGCUAUCACUCUUGGAUGGACCUGCGGUGCAUUAGCUAGUUGGUAGGGUAACGGCCUACCAAGGCGAUGAUGCAUAGCCGAGUUGAGAGACUGAUCGGCCACAUUGGGACUGAGACACGGCCCAAACUCCUACGGGAGGCAGCAGUAGGGAAUCUUCCACAAUGGACGCAAGUCUGAUGGAGCAACGCCGCGUGAGUGAAGAAGGGUUUCGGCUCGUAAAGCUCUGUUGUUGGUGAAGAAGGACAGGGGUAGUAACUGACCUUUGUUUGACGGUAAUCAAUUAGAAAGUCACGGCUAACUACGUGCCAGCAGCCGCGGUAAUACGUAGGUGGCAAGCGUUGUCCGGAUUUAUUGGGCGUAAAGCGAGUGCAGGCGGCUCGAUAAGUCUGAUGUGAAAGCCUUCGGCUCAACCGGAGAAUUGCAUCAGAAACUGUCGAGCUUGAGUACAGAAGAGGAGAGUGGAACUCCAUGUGUAGCGGUGAAAUGCGUAGGUAUAUGGAAGAACACCGGUGGCGAACGCGGCUCUCUGGUCUGUUACUGACGCUGAGGCUCGAAAGCAUGGGUAGCGAACAGGAUUAGAUACCCUGGUAGUCCAUGCCGUAAACGAUGAGUGCUAAGUGUUGGGAGGUUUCCGCCUCUCAAUGCUGCAGCUAACGCAUUAAGCACCCCGCCUGGGGAGUA